This 72-nucleotide transfer RNA is filed under the name Ovis aries (sheep). It matches the Rfam family "tRNA". From Rfam's summary of the family: Transfer RNA (tRNA) molecules are approximately 80 nucleotides in length. Their secondary structure includes four short double-helical elements and three loops (D, anti-codon, and T loops). Further hydrogen bonds mediate the characteristic L-shaped molecular structure. tRNAs have two regions of fundamental functional importance: the anti-codon, which is responsible for specific mRNA codon recognition, and the 3' end, to which the tRNAs corresponding amino acid is attached (by aminoacyl-tRNA synthetases). tRNAs cope with the degeneracy of the genetic code in two manners: having more than one tRNA (with a specific anti-codon) for a particular amino acid; and 'wobble' base-pairing, i.e. permitting non-standard base-pairing at the 3rd anti-codon position. The record is from Rfam by way of RNAcentral. Lineage: Eukaryota; Metazoa; Chordata; Mammalia; Artiodactyla; Bovidae.
UCCCUGAUGGUCCAGUGGUUGGGACACGGCACUUUCACUGCCACGGCCUGGGUUCAAUCCCUGGUUGGGAAC